Molecule: small nuclear RNA, 122 nt
Filed under: Aotus nancymaae (Ma's night monkey)
Lineage: Eukaryota; Metazoa; Chordata; Mammalia; Primates; Aotidae
Description: U2 spliceosomal RNA (ENSANAG00000001563.1)
Rfam family: U2 spliceosomal RNA
About the family: U2 is a small nuclear RNA (snRNA) component of the spliceosome (involved in pre-mRNA splicing). Complementary binding between U2 snRNA (in an area lying towards the 5' end but 3' to hairpin I) and the branchpoint sequence (BPS) of the intron results the bulging out of an unpaired adenosine, on the BPS, which initiates a nucleophilic attack at the intronic 5' splice site, thus starting the first of two transesterification reactions that mediate splicing.
Source: Rfam by way of RNAcentral
AUCACUUCUCAGUCUUUUGGCUAAGAUCAAGUGUAGUAUGAGUUCUUAUCAGUAUAAUAUCUUUUUUUUUGAGACGGAGUCUUGCUCUGUUGCCCAGACUGGACUGCAGCAGCGCAAUCUCA